Molecule: unclassified non-coding RNA, 179 nt
Filed under: uncultured Mycosphaerellaceae
Lineage: Eukaryota; Fungi; Ascomycota; Dothideomycetes; Mycosphaerellales; Mycosphaerellaceae
Description: sequence contains ITS1
Source: RNAcentral
UAGUGAAAAGCUAUAGACUUGGUGUCUAAGGAUGAAACCAUAAAGGUUAAUCCUACACCGCCCAACCUUGUCAAUAAAUUUAACGUUACCUCGGUAGGUUAGCCUGCCGGUGGACAUUUAAAAACCUUUUUAAACAUACUUGUAAAUAUACUUGUCUGAUAAUUUUUAAAAUAAAAUUA